This is a long non-coding RNA of Ailuropoda melanoleuca (giant panda), 1595 nucleotides long. RefSeq lists it as uncharacterized. The record is from RefSeq and is a predicted model, not a curated record. The transcript has 3 exons. NCBI's taxonomy places the organism in Eukaryota, Metazoa, Chordata, Mammalia, Carnivora, Ursidae.
UGGCACUGAGCUCGGAGGAGUGCAGGGACAGAAUUUAUAGUCACCAAGCGGCUCUUUGCCCGGCGUCUGCCCGGCCAGGUACUGUUACAUCCCCGAAGUGCCCUGGAAAUGCAACGGCCACCUGAACAGAUUCGUGAAUGAUUCUGGCUUACCCAUCCUGAGGCACAAGGCUGUGGCUGAAUGAUGUGCGGACCGCACCGUGUUAGGACUGAUCGAGCCUGGAUCAUGGACCAUGGGAGCCAUAUGCAUACAAGAAGUAGUUUCCUAAUGGAAUCGAAAGAAGGAUACUGAUUCGUAGGCGUGCAGGGCCAGAGUCCAGCAAACAGCAGGAGAAGAGGAGCCAUCUCUGGCUUUGUGCCUCCCCUCAUGAUACCACGAAGAACACUGGAUCAAGGGACCUAACUCUCAUUUCAGGGAGUGCCAACCAUGUUACCUAAAAUCUUCCGUUCUUUCUCAUUGGAAGAUCUAGGAACAAGGAACCCAAGCAAGAUUUUUUUGUCUGGCUCCUGAUUUUCAGCUGAGGGUAAGACUGACAGUGUGCUUAGUUCCGCAUCACCUAAGUACAAAGAGCUCCAGCCAAAGCCCCAUGGAGAAGGACACCUACAGGGGAAUUGGUUCUACCCCCUCGCCACACCCAGCACCUCACCCGUCAUCAAAGAACAACAGCGCCAUAUGUGGAGAGAGGUCAAGGGGUAGGAUUUCAACUCCAGCCGUGUCUGCCCCUGAACCUCUGCACCAGAGAAAAGUAGAGUUGAGAGGAGGUGGUUUGGUGAGCACUGCCAGGUAGAGCAUGACUGCACGCUCCCGCUCUGGCUCCCGUGUUCUGGUUUCAAGAAGUAAGAAUGAUGAAUCCGCAUGCACCUGCAGCCCUGAGAGUAGACUGCGGCAGGAAGCUGAGCUGGGAGCUUCAGGUACAGAGAACACAAGUAUCAUAGGUACACGGUACAAGGUCCCCGGGGCUCAUCAAUGGGAAAAACAGACAGCUGUGAGCUCCUGGUAGGUAGAGCCCUCCUGAGGCCCGUGGGCAAUGAGAGAGGACAGCAGUUGAGAUGCCCCAGGGAGGAGGCUGCCACCAUCUGCAGUCAAAGAUAUAGACAUCUUUCUUUUCUGUCUCUCACUGCUCUAACUAGGAUUGGAGAGACAGAGCAAGGGGACAGGUGCAUGACAGCACCCCAUACCCCCACCUUCACUCCAGCCACCAGAAGCUCAUCUCCUAUCUCCUCUGAGAGAGCAAAAGGAAAAGAACCCAAAUGACUCUCCAAAGUACCAAAAGUGACUACAAAGCUGUAAAAUCUGGCCGAAUUACCAUUAAAGGACCUCACGGGAAUGGGGACUCAGCAUUGGGGGGAAAUACGUUUGUACUGUGCUCAUUGAGCUCAAUGACCUGGGUACCCUGUUUCCCACCUGCUACGACAGCCUUACGUAGUGUUGGAAUGAUAAAGUGAGAUUUCAUUUUACACUUUUCCUUCCCUGUUGAGACAUCUCUAGAAAAGCCUUACAGCAAAAUACUUACCCGUUCAAUCAUAUAAGAAGCCCAAGGCUGCACGUUUCUGAGGCAAGAAGGAGGAAUGUAGGAUUAGGGUGCCAGUCAACAC